CUCUGGGCUCAAAUUCAUGACCCAGAGGUCAUGACUUGAGCCGAAACCAAGGGCUGGAUGCUCAAUCCACUGAG
This is a long non-coding RNA of Mustela erminea (ermine), 74 nucleotides long. RefSeq lists it as uncharacterized. NCBI's taxonomy places the organism in Eukaryota, Metazoa, Chordata, Mammalia, Carnivora, Mustelidae. The transcript is spliced from 3 exons. The record is from RefSeq and is a predicted model, not a curated record.